UGUUAAAAAUUUCUUUCAUUUCUUCUAUUAAAAACCAGCGUGACAGAUGGAAUAAUCAUAUAGUUGGACGUAGUGUGCCAGGUGUACCUCAUCAAGAUGAUUUUUAAUUGUAAAAACAGAUGAAAUUUUUAACA
Gossypium raimondii (Peruvian cotton) is the source of this 134-nucleotide non-coding RNA. The record is from Rfam. NCBI's taxonomy places the organism in Eukaryota, Viridiplantae, Streptophyta, Magnoliopsida, Malvales, Malvaceae.